GUCCACACGGACAUUAUAGAUGAGAAUUGUUGAAUCAUCCAUACCAAUAGCGAUUAUGUUGUUAUCAGGCGGAUAGAAAACAAUACAUGUUGCUGCAGGUGGGGAUUGCAUGAAACUUCUCAUUCUCUACAGUAAUCGAGCAAAUUGGAAAUGGUAGGUUAGUUAUUUCUAUAUGUCGAGCAUCCUAAAGUUCAAUGAUAUGAGAGCUCUAAGUUAGGUGCUACCCUGUGAAUUGAACAUAGAACAUUUUGCCAAUCUUUCACAAGCAUCCAAAGCAGCUACAACUUUUAGUAUUACCUUAAAAAUCAACAUGUUGAACAAAGAAACCAUCUUUCCAGAUGCUGAGACAACAUAAGAAUCAUUCUUGGACAAACAAAAGCACGGUGAGACUAAGUCGAUGUUACUUUCGGGAAGGUCAUUGAUCAUCAGCAACCCACUCUUUGGUUGCCACAGUUGAGGGACACACUUUGUAGUUGCCUGUUGCAGCAAAUACUCAGUUACUCUUUAAACAAUGACUGGCUGAUCAAAUCGAAGAUACAUAUAUACAAGCACUUGCAUAGGUGCAGAGAGAGAGAGAGAGAGAGAGAGGCUCAAAAUGCAUUCCAUUACAGCAAAACAGUUGAAUUUGAAUCUAUCCAAACUCAAAUCUCUUUAUACCAUUUUUUCUCACCAACUCCAACGUUUGUGUCUACACAACCAGUUCUUGAAUGCAUGCUCAAUUUCUUGAUAUCUUCAGACGUGUUCGGUGCAAGUACCUUUUUUCUCUCGCUAAACCUGUCCAAUAUUGUCUAAUCCAGCCUACCAAACAUGCCCUCAAUUUUCGAUCUGGAGGGGCGCAGUCCAUGUACUUUCAGAUUCCAUGGGUUCAAUGAUGACGACUCCACCAUCCGAUAACCCUAAGGCAAACUGGUUUGCCUUUUGUGGAUGAGCGGCAACCACCAGUGGAUAUACACGAGUUCUGCAUCCACCAUAACAAAAAUCAAAUUAAGCACCCUUGACAUGAGUGAAUGUCACACACACACAAAGUUGGAUCACUGAUGCUGAAGAACAUGAAUUCUGCCAGAAUUUAUGACAAAUUGGCGAAGUAAAUUACACUUUUUGCUCGUUGUCAAGAAAGGUAAAAAUGCAGUUAAGCUCCAUUUCGUUUUAGAUUUAUAAAAAAUAAAAUUCAGGAAAAUAUGUAUUGGUAUAGAAGGAUUUUGUCCAGACUUUCCAUCCCCUUUAACAGAACUAGAUAGUCCUUUUGUCCGAAAUUGCCAAAACUAAUUAAUUUUCUUGAGACAUUUUUGUCAGCGAGACUUUACUAUGGACACGUGCAGUUUUGCAAACAUUGACUGGAGAAAGAGAUGUGACUAAAAACCAUGAAUAAUGCAACUAAAUCAUUGAUACAGAAUUGAUUUUUUUAUAAAUUGUUGGUUGGGUCAAACGGAUUCAACUAUCAAGUACCUGAUAUGCUGUGGAAGGUAAGCAGAGGGAUCAAUCUCAAAUCUUGGAACGAGAUCUGAAGCACCGAGUAUCAGAACAAUUCCAUCCCUCAUGACAGUGUAUAACAAUUCAGCAUCACAAGAAAAUGCAGCAUGGGCAAUCCGUGCACAGAAGUUUCCAACGACCCACUGAAAUUAUAGCAUACGUAAAUUGUAAAGUCACGUGUAUGACAGCAUCGAAGCACUUCUCUUCUAAACGUGUCAAAGAGAGGAAGAGACCUGCUUAACACACUGUAGUUUUGUUGUUUCGUAUAUUGCAAGUUGAGUCUCAUGUACAGCAAGAAAGUGUCUUUCAUCCUUGUCAAAUUGGACAUGAGUCUCCGAUAGUUCUGAAGGUAACCAACCGGAGGAAAUCUCUAAAAAUGUGUUGUUCUUUUUCUCCCACGUGAUUGAAUCCCAUACAACAAUCUGCAGAAUAAUGGAGGAAAAAUAGAUUAUUUAAAUAUGUUUACGACAACAAUCUUAAAGUUGGCAACCUCGAAAAAGUCGAUCAAUUGUAUCUCUCUACGUCAAGAUUGAUUUUAUUUUCAAACUUGGAAAAUGUAGUAUUCAUAGAACUGUAUGGUAUAAUAAACAAGAUUUUAGUUUCUUUUUUCUUAGUUCAUACAAUCUAGUACUAUACAAUUCUCCCUACCAAGCAAGCCAAUAGCGUCUAAAUAAUAUAUAUUUGACAACCUGAGUUCAUUUAAGCUGGUAAAUAAAUUAUUAUACUUGAAAACAUUUAUUGAUUCACAUUCAAAGGAGGAAUCUGGCUGUCCUUCUGCACGAUCAACCAAUAGAAUAUAUAGAAUACCAACCUGAGCAUCCAAUCCAGAAGAGACAAGUACAUUUAACACGGUUGAGAAAGAAAGGCUGCUAAUUCUCUUAGAAUGGCCCUUAAGCUUAUUUGUCAACUGCAAAAUGAAGGCAAUGGCUAAAUGCUGCACAUUUCUUCUUAAUCUUUCUAACUCUAAUAUAAGUGAAUGUUGGACACAUAUAUCAUACCUCGUCCACACGGACAUUAUAGAUGAGAAUUGUUGAAUCAUCCAUACCAAUAGCGAUUAUGUUGUUAUCAGGCGGAUAGAAAACAAUACAUGUUGCUGCAGGUGGGGAUUGCAUGAAACUUCUCAUUCUCUACAGUAAUCGAGCAAAUUGGAAAUGGUAGGUUAGUUAUUUCUAUAUGUCGAGCAUCCUAAAGUUCAAUGAUAUGAGAGCUCUAAGUUAGGUGCUACCCUGUGAAUUGAACAUAGAACAUUUUGCCAAUCUUUCACAAGCAUCCAAAGCAGCUACAACUUUUAGUAUUACCUUAAAAAUCAACAUGUUGAACAAAGAAACCAUCUUUCCAGAUGCUGAGACAACAUAAGAAUCAUUCUUGGACAAACAAAAGCACGGUGAGACUAAGUCGAUGUUACUUUCGGGAAGGUCAUUGAUCAUCAGCAACCCACUCUUUGGUUGCCACAGUUGAGGGACACACUUUGUAGUUGCCUGUAGCAGCGAAUACUCAGUUACUCUUUAAACAAUGACUGGCUGAUCAAAUCGAAGAUACAUAUAUACAAGCACUUGCAU
This 3029-nucleotide long non-coding RNA is filed under the name Olea europaea (common olive). RNAcentral's name for it is "long non-coding RNA (OEUR_LNC005119)". Lineage: Eukaryota; Viridiplantae; Streptophyta; Magnoliopsida; Lamiales; Oleaceae. The record is from RNAcentral.